Molecule: ribosomal RNA, 834 nt
Filed under: human vaginal metagenome
Description: bacterial SSU rRNA
Rfam family: Bacterial small subunit ribosomal RNA
Source: RNAcentral
AGAGUUUGAUCCUGGCUCAGGACGAACGCUGGCGGCGUGCGUAACACAUGCAAGUCGAACGAGAGAGUGAGAGAAGCUUGCUUUUCUUACGAUCGAGUGGCAAACGGGUGAGUAACGCGUAAACAACCUGCCCCGCAGAUGGGGACAACAGCUGGAAACGGCUGCUAAUACCGAAUACGGUCCUCUUAGCGCAUGGUAAGAGGAAGAAAGGGUGGCCUCUGGAACAAGCUACCGCUGCGGGAGGGGUUUGCGUCUGAUUAGGCAGUUGGUGGGGUAACGGCCCACCAAACCAACGAUCAGUAGCCGGUCUGAGAGGAUGAACGGCCACACUGGAACUGAGACACGGUCCAGACUCCUACGGGAGGCAGCAGUGGGGAAUCUUCCGCAAUGGACGAAAGUCUGACGGAGCAACGCCGCGUGAGUGAAGACGGCCUUCGGGUUGUAAAGCUCUGUGAUCCGGGACGAAAGAGCCUGAGGUAAAUAGCCUAAGGAAGUGACGGUACCGGAAAAGCAAGCCACGGCUAACUACGUGCCAGCAGCCGCGGUAAUACGUAGGUGGCAAGCGUUGUCCGGAAUUAUUGGGCGUAAAGCGCGCGCAGGCGGCUUCCUAAGUCCAUCUUAAAAGUGCGGGGCUUAACCCCGUGAUGGGAUGGAAACUGGGAAGCUGGAGUAUCGGAGAGGAAAGUGGAAUUCCUAGUGUAGCGGUGAAAUGCGUAGAGAUUAGGAAGAACACCGGUGGCGAAGGCGACUCUCUGGACUGUAACUGACGCUGAGGCUCGAAAGCGUGGGGAGCAAACAGGAUUAGAUACCCUGGUAGUCCACGCCGUAAACGAU